This 27-nucleotide non-coding RNA is filed under the name Mus musculus (house mouse). Lineage: Eukaryota; Metazoa; Chordata; Mammalia; Rodentia; Muridae. The record is from RNAcentral.
GACAGAAAUGUUUUUCNGGUGUGCUGG